This 2052-nucleotide long non-coding RNA is filed under the name Homo sapiens (human). RNAcentral describes it as "HSALNT0162920". Lineage: Eukaryota; Metazoa; Chordata; Mammalia; Primates; Hominidae. The record is from RNAcentral.
UUUCCUUAUUUGAAACCAAAAAAAGUGUUCAACAUUUACCUAAGUUUCUUUUUAGUUUUCAUAUGUAAUUAUUCGGAGAUUUUUUUCAACUAGAUCCUGAGAUACAGUAAUUCUGUAUGUAACCGAUAAGAGAAGAACAUAAUAUUUAUGUUUAUAUGAUGUUUUACUCUAGGAAAAAAUAGGCGGAAACCAAAAAUGUGCGUUUUCAGCAGGAAUCAAUUGUUCAAAUGUAGCUAGUUCUCUGACAGUUACUUGAGAAACUCUGAAUGUUACAUUUAUUGUUCAGCUUAUUUACCACCAUAUCUAAGGCCCUAUAGUCGGAUUAACCAAAAUCAGUUUUUGCUAUUAUAUGAACUUCUUCAUCUGCCCUUCCUUUUCCUGAUGCAUUUUUGUUUAGUUUUACCCAGUAAAUCCUACUUCCUUGCCCAGGCUGGCAUGUUUUCACACUUAACACUGUAUGCCCUGUUACCCUUAUCAAAAUUCCUAUCCUGUUAUUGGGCAUUAGGGGGAACUUAGCUUUGGUUAAAAGUAAGUACUGUGUUACUGGAAGCUCUACCUUCAUCUACUAAUGUGCAGUUCUAAAAUGAUUAACAGAUAAUGCAAUGAGAUUCAGAAUUAGAUGGUGAGAAAUGUGAAGAUCCUCAAGCAUAAAAAAGUUUUGAAAAAUUUAAGAUGUUUUUCCCCUUAGAUCCUGUAAAUGGGUUUAAUGUUGACUAACUGUUAAGGCCCACUACCCACUCUAGCUUUACCUCAUAUUAUUUUUUCUCAGGGGAAAAUAAAAAGCCUUUCGCUCUUCUCCCUGUGCCAAAGUCUGUCCAACCCUUUAAACAUUGUAAGGCAUAACAUAAGUUACUGUAGAAGUGGGCACAAGGACAGUAUAUAGAGAAAACUGGGUUUCUCUCAACUUCAUGUCAUUUGAUAAGGGUUCAGUAAUUUUCUUGUGACAUUUGACUGGCAUUUAAUAUUGGAGAAGGACAGACUUUCAUUUCCAUUUUACAUUUAAUACUGUUGUUUACAGAGAAGUUUGUAAUAAUAAAUAUAUAAUGCAAAUUAGGCUAGUACGUUUUUUGUCCAGAGGUUUUACACAAAUGCUGUCUUCUAAGUGAAAUAUGUUUUAAAACAAGUAGAUGGAAUAAAAAUUAACCACUAAGUCAUAUACUGAAAUAAAGUAACUUGUGUUGUUUUGCUUCAUACAAAAUAUUAUAUAGCUGUUUUUUAACACUCACUGGAAAUGACUAGAAAUGUCAUCUGAAGAAUACAAUAUCUCUUCUUCUAAUUUUUGUAAUGAGCUUAUCAUUUAUUUGGUCAUUUAUUCAGCAAAAUAUUUUGAUAUUCCACUGUGCCUGCAAGAUGAAUAUGACAAAAUUCAUCCACUGGAAGAGCUCUCAGCUUGAUGGCAGAAGAUAAAUACAUAAAUGAAUAAUCAUAAAAUAAAAUGAUACACAGACUCAUAGACUCAGAAGGAAAUACAAGAGAAAGAUUCUCAGUAGUGAUGACACUUUGAAGAAUUAGUAGACACUAAGGGGAAAAGACACUUUCCUAAAGUGGAGAAACAUAAACAAGCACACUUAUCAAACCUCUCAAACAUUCUGCUGUUCUUUUAAGAUGAACGGCCUAAUAUAAAAGUGCAGGUGAGAGGCGACUUGGAGGAAUGGAAACUCACAUCAACACUGGAAACUGAAGGAAAUAGCAAUCUCCCAGAAAUUUUGUCUAAUUUUUCCAUGAUACAGUGUGGGAAGAAAUCUCUCAGAGUGGACUACAAGACAGCGGGAUAUAUCUACAUACAGACAAUUGCAGAGGACAAAAAAUACUCAACUCAGAUGCUCCAGCUGUAGGGAUGAUAAAGUUGUGUUGUCUACCAACUUCUCCCUAUGCCAUUGGGUAGCUAAAGACAUUGUUAAAGAAAAGACAAAAAAGGGACUUACAACUAUUUCAUUUUUAAGCAUUUCUCAUUGUGUAAUGGAAAGCCUGUGUAUAAUAGACAUUGUGUAAUGAAAAGCCUGGUGUAUAAUAGAUGAUAAUAGACUAAUAAAUGUGUACUGUUAAUCUCCC